Molecule: long non-coding RNA, 376 nt
Organism: Scylla paramamosain (green mud crab)
Lineage: Eukaryota; Metazoa; Arthropoda; Malacostraca; Decapoda; Portunidae
Exons: 2
Source: RefSeq, a predicted model, not a curated record
UACUGAGGUGCCGAGGCUCCCACCUGUAGUCAGCUGCUGGACGUGUACGAGUCUCGUCUCACCUUCCCUCGUCCUAGCACUGGCAACACCUACCAGUGCCACUUCCUGCAAGGCACUGCAGCAGCGUGACACUGCUUUUGAGGUGAAAUCGAAUGAUGUGGCACAAAUGACAUUUCCUGGUAUCCGGGAGGAGAGGGAGGCAACAGGCGAGGGAGUACUAACAGGCGAGUCACGUGACGCGACCAGACAAGAAUGAGUCGCGUCUGGGACAUAGUAACAUAUGUGGCUUUGUAAAUAAUUAUUAUAGCAAGGGGCGCAAAUGCCUCCAUCAAAACAGUUCAUUAUCAUCUGUCUGAGUUACAAUAUCUACGUAUAC